AGUGAACGCUGGCGGUAGGCCUAACACAUGCAAGUCGAACGAGUGGCGGACGGGUGAGGAAUGCAUCGGAAUCUACUCUUUCGUGGGGGAUAACGUAGGGAAACUUACGCUAAUACCGCAUACGAAUGAAUGAGCCGAUGCCCGAUUAGCUAGUUGGCGGGGUAAGAGCCCACCAAGGCGACGAUCGGUAGCUGGUCUGAGAGGAUGAUCAGCCACACUGGAACUGAGACACGGUCCAGACUCCUACGGGAGGCAGCAGUGGGGAAUAUUGGACAAUGGGCGCAAGCCUGAUCCAGCCAUACCGCGUGGGUGAAGAAGGCCUUCGGGUUGUAAAGCCCUUUUGUUGGGAAAGCGGUACCCAAAGAAUAAGCACCGGCUAACUUCGUGCCAGCAGCCGCGGUAAUACGAAGGGUGCAAGCGUUACUCGGAAUUACUGGGCGUAAAGCGUGCGUAGGUGGUUGUUUAAGUCUGUCGUGAAAGCCCUGGGCUCAACCUGGGAGUUGCGAUGGAAACUGGGCGACUAGAGUGUGGCAGAGGAUAGUGGAUUUCCUGGUGUAGCAGUGAAAUGCGUAGAGAUC
Molecule: ribosomal RNA, 578 nt
Filed under: uncultured bacterium
Lineage: Bacteria
Description: bacterial SSU rRNA
Rfam family: Bacterial small subunit ribosomal RNA
Source: RNAcentral